Molecule: RNA transcript, 4040 nt
Organism: Solenopsis invicta (red fire ant)
Lineage: Eukaryota; Metazoa; Arthropoda; Insecta; Hymenoptera; Formicidae
Gene: Tsp97E
Gene name: tetraspanin-13
Exons: 7
Source: RefSeq, a predicted model, not a curated record
CGCCAUCAUCGCGCCUGCUCGGUCAGUCGUGAGUCGUCUGCCUGUCGUAGCGUGUCGUUCUCGCGCGUGUAUAUCUCGGCAGGGCUCGAAAAUUCGUGCGAGCACGCGGACAAAUUCGUGCGCACGGUCGCGAACGUCUGCUCCGUAGCGGAAGCUGAACGCGAACUAGGUUAUCCGUGUCGUUCUCCCAGGGGGAUCGUCCUCUCGCACGCCGUGAACCGCUGCGACCGCAGGCGCGUCGACCUGCGGACCUGCAGGAGAUCUGACAGCGAGCGGCGGACGGGCACAGUCGAAGAUGUGCGGCGGCUUUACGUGCUCGAAAAAUGCGCUGACAGCACUCAACAUCCUCUACAUCGUUGUUGCCUUUAUAUUAAUAGGAGUCGCUGUAUAUGGCAGGGCAUCCGCCUUAGUCACAAAUCUCCCUAUUAUAGGUGGUAUUUUAGCAUGCGGAGUGAUCCUGUUCCUCAUUUCUAUACUGGGCCUGAUCGGUGCCGUUAAACACCAUCAGGUCUUGCUGUUCUUUUACAUGCUUAUCUUAUUCCUUUUGUUCCUGAUUCAAUUCAGUAUCGCCUGCGCCUGCCUUGCUGUCAAUACUAAGCAGCAAGAACAACUUGCAGAACAGGGCUGGAAACAUGUUGGAUCUGACUUAAGGAUGAAAGUUCAAACUACCUUUAACUGUUGUGGAUUUAAUAGCACUAAUGAUGAACCUGGUGUACCUUGCGAAGAAGUCAAUAAAAUCUGUUGUCAAACCCUCAGUGUCGAUCAAAUAUCUUGUCCGCCUUGUCCAACGUGUAUGCAUAAGCUACAAUCGACUAUUGACUAUGCGUUCAAAUUAUGUGGCAGUAUAGGAUUGUUCUUUAGCUUUACAGAGUUUGUUGGUGUAUGGUUGACCGUGAGGUACCGGAACCAGAAAGAUCCACGAGCUAAUCCUAGUGCUUUUCUCUAGUCUAACACCAUCGCCAUGUCCUCUGUCACUUCAUACGAUCCUCCUAACAGAUGGUGAUCGCAGCUUUCUUGGCAAGACAUUACCGUAAUCAAUUAGAUCCACAGGAAAAAGCUGCAAGAGCUAUUUUUCCGCAGCACAAUUAUUUAUAUUGAUUUGACGAUACAUUCCAACUGAAAAUUAAUAAUCUUUUUUUUAUUGGUAUUAUGAUUUUUGUCGAUAUGAAGAGGACAAAUGUCUGAAAUUAAUUUUAUUUUUGAUUGCCUGAAUAUGUUGUGCAACAUAUUUUCCAAGGGCUAGAUUUAAAAAACUUUUCUUUUUAAUACUUUAAUUCUUUUUAUUAUACAUAAUGCUCAAUAGUGACAGAAGUUAAUACAUUUUUAACUGGGCAAUCAUAGGUUUUAGAAUGAGUUAGACAAAUAACUGAAAUGUGUGCUCUAGUCAUAUACUUAGAACACUCAUAACAAGCCUCAAUGCGCCUUGUAGUCUAGUGACAGAAAACAUCACGUGAGUAUAAAUUUCUAUUAAAUUUUGUUGCAUUAUUUUUCUGCAAUAGUUUGAGGAUAAUGGAAGUUGACGAUGAAAAUCUAGUACACUAUUAUAAUUGUAUCAUUUGGUUCUACAAUUCAGAUAAACUACAACAUUUAAAGCCAUUCUAAAAAAUGUGAAAUGAUAUAAAAAGAACGGUAUAAAGUAAUAUCCAUUUUUUAAAAUAUAUUUUCAUGAAAAAAUGUAGUUUAUUAUGUUAAAAGCAUAGAUAACAUCCAUGAUCUUGUCAAUCAUAUUUUUCUCCCACAUAUAAAUGAACCAUAUUAGAUAUAUAUAUAAUUAUAUUCAGUAAUAUCUAGAAAUUUACAUCUUCCGAGUAAAAAUUCUGUCAUAUCAUCUUUGAGUACUUUUAGACAACUUUAUAAUAUUUUUAUGCCUGCGAAGAGAUUGUUUUUAUAUUUUAAAAUAUUUUAUAGUGUGUUACGAUAUAACUUCUGUUAUAUGAAAUUGUAAUCAAAAUCGGAAGAGAAAUUGUAAUAUAAUCUUACAACAAACCAUAUCUGAUGAAACUUGGCUUACUUUUGACAGCUGUCGUACACUCGCUUAUGAUAUCGUAUGAUGGAAAAUCGUAUGAUAAGAAAUUAUACUUGAAAUGUAUAAACUAUCGAAUUAUUUAUCCUAUGAUAAUGCGCCGUCAGCGAGAUAAUCGUAUUUCAAGUUUCAUCCACGAAAAAUAUCCAAUACGAGCGCUUUGCUUGAAAUUAAAUUCUAUGCUGAUUGUGCACUCUAAGAAAAUUUACGCAUAAUAAGCUGAAUAUAAGACGUCCUAAACAGCCUGGUGGGAAGUUAUUAAAGAACUUUAUAAUAGUCUCGCUUUCUUGCAUAAUGUAGAGUUCCUAAUGGACUACUCGUCGUGGGCUUUUAAGCUUUUGCGGUCGUAAGGAGGAGACGAAGGGGGAAUAUUUAAAUCAUCUUGUCGAAUAUCAUUAGACUUACGACCGUACGAAUUUAAUAGUAGCGAAAAUUGUAUUUUAUUUGCGAUAAAAAAUGAAAUUUAUUGAAUGACGUCUUGAAUAAGAUAAUAUCCUUCCAGGUUUUUUCGGACAAAAUUUAUAUAUUAUAGAUAAAACUUUACGAAAGACACGUGUUGUGAAUUUAAUGUGCAUGAAAAUAUUGUUUACAUUGUGCCCUAUUCUAGGUAUUAGAGAAUGUAGCAUAUUUUCUAUCUAAUCUCAUUGCGUGAGAUGCAGAUGGGACGAAUCUCGCCAUAAUUACAUUUCCGAGAGUCUCUCUCUGUCUGAAAAACAGCUGUUAAGAUACAUCGUAGUAUACAUUUAUAGUUACAUCACAUCUUUAAUGUUCAAUAACGAAUCGAACUUGUUGCUCCAUCGCGUUUUAAUUUUAAGAAUACAAUGAAACGAUAAUUGAACAAAAUUCAUGGAAUUCGUUAUUGAAUAUAAAAACGAUAAAAUCGUAGUUUAACGAAUCGCACAUUUGACGAAUUUUUUUUUUUUAAUAUUUGUGGAAUAUAUGUCACUUUGACGAAUUACCCAAUAUCGUUUUAACGAACGAUUCGAGUCCGCGCAAAUUUACGAAGUUAUGCCAGUCACGUCUCACGAAUAGUGGAAAGUUACCCGCGGAUAUAUCUUCCUAUGUAAGCGUACGAAAUAAAAAUAACGUAAACAUUCCAAUUUUUAUGCGCCUCUUCCCUCUGGCUUUGGUAGAAAACGUGCAUGUAUUUUGCGCGUGCACGGAAUUGAGGACUCGAAUAUAUGGUAUGAAAAGUAUAUACGGUAGUAUAAUUCCUAUACAAUAUUUUUACCUAAAAAAAGAAAUACGUAUCGUAACCAAUCUACUCGUAAUUAGACAAAUCACUGUACGUAUGUCCUGAGAGCUGAAAACAAUCGAGAAAUGCGUAUGUAUAGGAGCGAUUUACACGCAUCUCUGCGUAACUGAAAGAUAGAACUACGUAAGCCACGCCCGAUUAUAUUAUAUGUAUAAUGUAGUGCGUGCGUGAGAGAGGAAUCUCUUGAAAUCAAAAUCUGAUGUGGGAAGACUUGAAUGACAAUCCUAAGUGACGGAAAUCAUAUAUUGUACACGUUAGAAAUCAUAUUCGAAUUACAUUCGAUUUAUCUCCUCAUAUCGAAUGUCUUGAUUCUGUACAUCCAUUCUUUGUAACCACGUUACAUCACUCUUUCUGAAGUUAAAAUAAAAAAAAAACGUAAAUAUAUAUAAUUGAGCGUUGUGCGGUGAGACAUAGAAAGUGCAAAGGGCAGCCUCAUGUAUAUCCUCUCCAAAGAAUUCGAGGCAUUGCGCCUGUGACCAAAGGUUCGAAAUUAAUCGGAUUUCGAAAAAGCUACGUUUAAUUCCAAUACUCGUGCAUUCCGCAACGGACGGCAAACAAUCUUGAAUAUGUUAAGAAUGAGGAUUUAAACAAUUCCAAUUAAGAGAGAAAUACAUGUUAUUGUACAACGCUGUAUGUAUCAGGUAUCGAAGAAGUAUCAAGGGCUAAACGAUUGCGGGCUAAACGAUUGCGAGCAAUAAAGUCUCAAUUGUCAGAGCUCUCGCGUAACGAUUAUGAUAAAUAAAUAAAUGAAUGAUGUUUGGA